This 217-nucleotide ribosomal RNA is filed under the name Klebsiella pneumoniae. RNAcentral describes it as "partial 23S ribosomal RNA". It matches the Rfam family "Bacterial large subunit ribosomal RNA", at positions 1 to 209 of the family's 2925-position model. The record is from RNAcentral. Lineage: Bacteria; Pseudomonadati; Pseudomonadota; Gammaproteobacteria; Enterobacterales; Enterobacteriaceae.
GGGUUGUGAGGUUAAGCGACUAAGCGUACACGGUGGAUGCCCUGGCAGUCAGAGGCGAUGAAGGACGUGCUAAUCUGCGAAAAGCGUCGGUAAGGUGAUAUGAACCGUUAUAACCGGCGAUGUCCGAAUGGGGAAACCCAGUGCAAUUCGUUGCACUAUCGUUAACUGAAUACAUAGGUUAACGAGGCGAACCGGGGGAACUGAAACAUCUAAGUAC